RNAcentral lists this ribosomal RNA (447 nucleotides) under uncultured bacterium. RNAcentral's name for it is "partial 16S ribosomal RNA". It matches the Rfam family "Bacterial small subunit ribosomal RNA", at positions 29 to 523 of the family's 1533-position model. The record is from RNAcentral.
AACGAACGCUGGCGGCAGGCUUAACACAUGCAAGUCGAACGCCCCGCAAGGGGAGUGGCAGACGGGUGAGUAACGCGUGGGAAUCUACCGUACCCUACGGAACAACAGUUGGAAACGACUGCUAAUACCGUAUACGCCCUACGGGGGAAAGAUUUAUCGGGGUAUGAUGAGCCCGCGUUGGAUUAGCUAGUUGGUGGGGUAAAGGCCUACCAAGGCGACGAUCCAUAGCUGGUCUGAGAGGAUGAUCAGCCACAUUGGGACUGAGACACGGCCCAAACUCCUACGGGAGGCGGCAGUGGGGAAUAUUGGACAAUGGGCGCAAGCCUGAACCAGCCAUGCCGCGGGAGUGAUGAAGGUCUUAGGAUUGUAAAGCUCUUUCACCGAUGAAGAUAAUGACGGUAGUCGGAGAAGAAGCCCCGGCUAACUUCGUGCCAGCCGCCGCGGUAA